ACCUCAUUUAAGGUCUGGUAGCCACAAAAGAAGCAUCUGUGCUUAGUGAUUGCCUCUUUUGGAGUGUUUGGUGAGCCCUCAUCUUUGGAAAGGGGAUAGGUGGAAAUGAUCCAUCCAGGAAGAUAAUGCCACCCCAGCUCUGCACAAGAAGCCUAUGUUGUGAGCACAGAGCUGAAAAUUGGAGUGAAAUCACCAGCAUUUGAGAUACCUGCUCUAAAUGCAAGAGGCUCUUCACCCAAAGGAGUGCUCAACUAACAUGUUGGUUUCUGCCCACAAGCUCUUGAUGCUUCAUAUCUCUGAGGACUGCAGUAACAGUAAGGGAGGUGAAAACAGACAAAAAAUAAUAGCAUAUUUCAGAGAAACAACUUUACUUUUUCCACUUUAAGCUGAAGCAGUGCAUUGUUGAAGAAAAGCUAAGCCAGAAUAAUUCUUCACAGCUCAUUUUUAUGGAAGAAACCCAGAACACAGAUUCCUCAGUCUUUCUAUGUUGUCUACCUCCUUGCUCAAAUUAUGCAGAUAAAGAGAGAAAGUGUGUGAGCAAAAAAAAACGAGAGGCCAGGAGCCUGUGUGGCACUGGGGAAACCCAGAAAGCUGUGACCUUUAUCUCUGUGCUUUCAUUUUCCUGCUGGAAGAAAGGUGCAAUCAUCUUUCCUUGUAGAAGUGUUGUGGAGAUGCAUGUAUUCAGACUUUGCAGAACUGUAGGAAUAAAUGAUAAAAUAUUCAGUUUGGAUUUGUGGUUUAAAUAAGGCCCGCGAGCCACUGAUUGCAUGCUGCGAGUAGAAAGAGGUCUUCACUAGGCAAGGCCAGCACCCAGUGGAAGACAUAGGAAAGGAGCAUGUACUUAAAAACCACAUCCUAAUGCACAAAUAAAU
Tympanuchus pallidicinctus (lesser prairie-chicken) is the source of this 872-nucleotide long non-coding RNA. RefSeq lists it as uncharacterized. The record is from RefSeq and is a predicted model, not a curated record. Lineage: Eukaryota; Metazoa; Chordata; Aves; Galliformes; Phasianidae. The transcript has 6 exons.